This 253-nucleotide ribosomal RNA is filed under the name uncultured bacterium. RNAcentral describes it as "partial 16S ribosomal RNA". It matches the Rfam family "Bacterial small subunit ribosomal RNA", at positions 524 to 776 of the family's 1533-position model. The record is from RNAcentral.
UACGUAGGUGGCGAGCGUUGUCCGGAUUUACUGGGCGUAAAGGGAGCGUAGGCGGACUUUUAAGUGAGAUGUGAAAUACUCGGGCUCAACUUGAGUGCUGCAUUUCAAACUGGAAGUCUAGAGUGCAGGAGAGGAGAAUGGAAUUCCUAGUGUAGCGGUGAAAUGCGUAGAGAUUAGGAAGAACACCAGUGGCGAAGGCGAUUCUCUGGACUGUAACUGACGCUGAGGCUCGAAAGCGUGGGUAUCAAACAGG